GCAAACUUGGUCAUUUAGAGGAAGUAAAAGUCGUAACAAGGUAACCGUAGGUGAACCUGCGGUUGGAUCAUUACCAAGUGCAAAAAACUUUGUCCCCCCUUGUGUGAACUGUUAUUAUUUCUUUGGUGGCUCACAAAACAUGUUGGCGCGUCUUUUUUGUAUAGCUACUCACUCGACCGAGGUCUUGCGAGUGUCUAUGUUAAAGGACGAGACUUCGGGCCACCUAACCGUGUUAAAAUCCUUGUCCAAUGUAAUUUUGUCUCUGUGUAAUUUGUGAGAGCGAAUCUCCAAUUUUUAACAAAAACAACUUUUGACAACGGAUCUCUUGGCUCUUGCAUCGAUGAAGAACGCAGC
This 354-nucleotide unclassified non-coding RNA is filed under the name uncultured fungus. RNAcentral's name for it is "partial contains small subunit ribosomal RNA, internal transcribed spacer 1, and 5.8S ribosomal RNA". The stretch from base 1 to 73 matches the Rfam family "Eukaryotic small subunit ribosomal RNA", at positions 1759 to 1831 of the family's 1831-position model. Lineage: Eukaryota; Fungi. The record is from RNAcentral.